Molecule: long non-coding RNA, 3136 nt
Filed under: Homo sapiens (human)
Lineage: Eukaryota; Metazoa; Chordata; Mammalia; Primates; Hominidae
Description: HSALNT0352621
Source: RNAcentral
GGCUAAGCUAAGUUUUAGGACUUAGUGUUCUAAUUAAAGAUUUAAAUAUGACUUUCCAAAUUAUUGCCUGGAAUGGAUUCAUUUCUGUGAGCCUAAUCCCUUUGCAAGUGUCUAAAGCUUGCUCUCACAUUCACACAAAAAACUUACAGAAAUACAAAUACAGUCAUUAUAGAGAAGCUUACUGAUUAUGUAAACAGUCAUGUCCACCAAAAUUGUUUAAUAUAAUUUUCAGAGGGUGAGAGCCUGAAUAUAUCCUUUCUAGAAAGCUGCUUAACAAGGUUGUCAAACAUUGAGGUAACUGACAAAAUCAUCAACCACGUAAAAUUUCAUUAGUCUUUACAAUUACAAAAUCAAAUUUCUCCCUUUAAAUAAAUGCUUUGGGGUUUUAUAACAUGCAAAGUGAAGACUCCCAGCUUCAAAGUGUGCCUGUGUGUAUUCUCAAGUGUAGCCUGUGUCCCACAAUAGUGGACAUAGUUACCAAUAAUUAUUUCUUUCUGUAACCUGAGUCAGUUGACAGCCAUAUAAAAUGGGCUGAUCAUAACUGUGUCUAGAGGGAAGGGGAUACAUUUCUAAAAGAACACUGAACAAUAUUUCUCUGGGAUUUUAAAGUCUGGGUAACUCUCUAUGAAGUAGUGUCUUGGGGGAGAUUUCUUCUUAGUUAACAUGACAAUUAAGUCAAAUUACAAUAAACAAAUAUUCAAAGUCUAGAUGCUUCAUUUAUUUAAGUCAAUUUUAAAAAAUAUAAGAAGAAGAGAAGCAACUGGGAGGAGGGCAGUCUCUUGAAAUCUUUUGAAAUGAAGCUAACUUGUAUUUAGAAUUGUGUGGGGAAGAGAGAAGGAGGUUUAGUAUUCAUUUCCUGGGGCUUAUAAGCUGUGGAAUAGUGACAGUAUGUUUAUUCUAAAACAUCAAAGAUCCCUGUCUCACAACAUCUCAGACAACAAAGAUGGGAAAACAAAUGAACCAAGGACACAUCCUAAUAUAUUCUGCGAUGUUUACUCCCCCUACAGGCAAAUCAAUCUUUUGAAAACUGUCUUUAAUAAUAUCCUUGUAAUUUUUACACUGUUUCUUUCUUCCAGCAGCCCUAGCCAUUAUUUAUAAGUCUUCUAACUUCUGUCUCGUACUACUCUCUAUCCCAUGUAGCUCUCUCUCUUUAGCAUUUAUUUUUAUAUUUGUCAACUCCUUUCUCCUCUCUCCCAACUGUAAACGCCAAAUCCAGCAUUGGAAGGAAUGCUCUACAUCAAAUCACAUUUCUGAUAAAUGAACAGUGAAAAUUUAACAAUACGACUUUUAUGACAAUGUGAUGGCAAGUGCCCUGAACUUGGGUGUCCAGAAACCUGAACUCGAGUUUGGGUUUGGCUACUAAUUAGUUUGUAACCUUGGGUUCGUUGUCCUUGUCUAUAAAAUAACAUGGUUGAAGGAAAAUGAACUAGAAAAUACCCUUGACCAACUCAACUUCUAUAUCUUUUCACAUUAUAUUUAAUAUCUCAAGUGCUGCAAAUCUAAGUUCUUUUUUUUUUCUUUUUUUUUUUGAGAAGGAGUUUCACUCUUGUUGCCCAGGCUGGAGUACAUUGGCACAAUCUCAGCUCACUGCAACCUCUGCCUCCCAGGUUCAAGCGAUUCUCCUGCCUCAGCCUCCUGAGUAGCUGGGAUUACAGGUGCAGGCCACUACACCUGGCUAAUUUCUUUUUUUGGUUUUGGUUUUUUGUUUGUUUGUUUGUUUGUUUGUUUUUUGGCAUUUUUAGUAGAGAUGAGGUUUCACCAUGUUGGCCAGGCUGGUCUCAAACUCCUGACCUCACAUGAUCCACCCACCUCAGCCUCCCAAGGUGCUGGGAUUACAGGCAUGAGCCACCGUGCCUGGCCUUGCAAAUGUUAAGUUCUAAAAAAUUAAAUGAAUAAGAGUUGAAAAGGAAAUCAACAUUGUUAAAGCAAAAUAUACCAGAAACAGUGUUGAGUUGAUGUCCCUGGAUCAUCUUAUGUGUAUAAUCUUUACAACAACUGUGCAAGAUGAUUGGUUUUACCUCCAUUUGUAUACAUAGAAUUUCACAGGGGGGUAAAUAAUUUCCCAAGAUUGCAUGGUUCAAAAUGGCAAAUCUGUCAUUUGAAUGACUUGGGUUUUCGAUCAAAGAGUUUCGAGUCUAUAGUUACAAUUUACUCACUAAUUGGACUUCCACAAAUUGCCCUGGGUGAGUUUGUCUGUAAGUAUAUGUGUUUAUACACAUGUAAUACUUAGUUUGGAAAGUAGGAUCAAGUGUUUUUAGAUAGUGAGGAAAUUAACGCAGAAGACAAGUAACUUGGUUAAGUAUUAAUUUUCUGGUAGUAGAAUCAAGAAUGAAAGGAUUUUUAAUUUUUAUGGGUUCAUAGCAGGUGUAUAUGUUUAUGGGGUAUGAAAUACUUGGACACCGGCAUGCAAUGCAUACUCACAUCAUGGAAAAUGAGAUACUCAUCCACUCAAGCGUUUAUCCUCUGUGUUGCAAACAAUCCAAUGAUUCUCUCUCAGUUAUUUUAAAAUGUACAAUUAAACUAUUUUGACUAUAAAAUACUAGGUAUUAUUCAUUCUUUCACACUAUUUUUUGUACCCGUUGUGCUAUAAAAUACUAGGUAUUAUUCAUUCUCUCAAACUACUUUGUGUAACCAUUAACCAUUACCACCUCCUCCUGACCCCACACUACCAGGAAGGACAGGAUUUUUCAUAAGGCGAUUUUGGAGUUUCAGAAGUCAGAGUUCACAGUAGGUAUUGGAGAAGCUACACAGCCAUAAACAGUCUUCUAAGGAAAAUGGCAAAAUGCAUACUCUGAAUUAAGCUUUAAAAAAAUCAGAUAGGGCCAGGCACAGUGGCUCGUGCCUGUAAUCCUAGCGCUUUGGGAGGCCGAGGCAGGCAGAUCACUUGAAGUAAGGAGUUCAAAACUACCCUGGCCAACAUGGUGAAACCCCAUCUGUACUAAAAAUAUUUUUUAAAAAAUUAGCCAGGUGUGGUGGCAGGUGCCUGUAAUCCCAGCUACUUGGGAGGCUGAGGCAGGAGAAUUGCUUGAACCUGGGAGGCAGAGGUGGUAGUGAGCCAAGAUCGCACCACCGCACUCCAGCCUGGGCAACAAGAGUGAGACUCCGUCUCAAAAAAAAAGAAAAGAAAGGAAAGAAA